This 274-nucleotide ribosomal RNA is filed under the name uncultured bacterium. RNAcentral's name for it is "partial 16S ribosomal RNA". It matches the Rfam family "Archaeal small subunit ribosomal RNA", at positions 473 to 747 of the family's 1478-position model. The record is from RNAcentral.
AAACCAGCACCUCAAGUGGUCAGGAUGAUUAUUGGGCCUAAAGCAUCCGUAGCCUGUUGCAUAAGUUUUCGGUUAAAUCCAUAUGCUCAACAUAUGGGCUGCCGGGAAUACUGUGCAACUAGGGAGUGGGAGAGGUAGACGGUACUCGGUAGGAAGGGGUAAAAUCCUUUGAUCUAUUGAUGACCACCUGUGGCGAAGGCGGUCUACCAGAACACGUUCGACGGUGAGGGAUGAAAGCUGGGGGAGCAAACCGGAUUAGAAACCCCGGUAGUCC